This 492-nucleotide ribosomal RNA is filed under the name uncultured bacterium. RNAcentral describes it as "partial 16S ribosomal RNA". It matches the Rfam family "Bacterial small subunit ribosomal RNA", at positions 29 to 507 of the family's 1533-position model. The record is from RNAcentral.
AGUGAAUGAUGGGGGUAGGCCUAACACAUGCAAGUCGAACGGCAGCACAGUAAGAGCUUGCUCUUACGGGUGGCGAGUGGCGGACGGGUGAGGAAUACAUCGGAAUCUACUUUUUCGUGGGGGAUAACGUAGGGAAACUUACGCUAAUACCGCAUACGACCUACGGGUGAAAGCAGGGGAUCUUCGGACCUUGCGCGAUUGAAUGAGCCGAUGUCGGAUUAGCUAGUUGGCGGGGUAAAGGCCCACCAAGGCGACGAUCCGUAGCUGGUCUGAGAGGAUGAUCAGCCACACUGGAACUGAGACACGGUCCAGACUCCUACGGGAGGCAGCAGUGGGGAAUAUUGGACAAAGGGCGCAAGCCUGAUCCAGCCAUACCGCGUGGGUGAAGAAGGCCUUCGGGUUGUAAAGCCCUUUUGUUGGGAAAGAAAAGCAGCAGGUUAAUACCCCGCUGUUCUGACGGUACCCAAAGAAUAAGCACCGGCUAACUUCGUG